Molecule: ribosomal RNA, 402 nt
Filed under: Micrococcus sp.
Lineage: Bacteria; Bacillati; Actinomycetota; Actinomycetes; Micrococcales; Micrococcaceae
Description: partial 16S ribosomal RNA
Source: RNAcentral
GUUAUCCRGAAUUAUUGGGCKUAAAGAGCUYRUAGGCSGUUUGUCGCGUCUGUCKUGAAAGUCCGGKGCUUAACCMMRGAUCUGCGGUGGGUACGGGCASACUAKAGUGCASUAGGGGAGACUGGAAUUCCUGRUGUAGCGGUGGAAUGCGCAGAUAUCAKGAGGAACACCGAUGGCGAAGGCAGGUCUCUGGGCUGUARCUGACGCUGAGGAGCGAAAGCAUGGGGAGCGAACAGAUUAGAUACCCUGGUAGUCCAUGCCGUAAACGUUGGGCACUAGGUGUGGGGACCAUUCCACGGUUUCCGCGCCGCAGCUAACGCAUUAAGUGCCCCGCCUGGGGAGUACGGCCGCAAGGCUAAAACUCAAAGGAAUUGACGGGGGCCCGCACAAGCGGCGGAGCAU